GACGAACGCUGGCGGCGUGCUUAACACAUGCAAGUCGAGCGGUAAGGCCCUUUCGGGGUACACGAGCGGCGAACGGGUGAGUAACACGUGGGUGACCUGCCCUCAGCUCUGGGAUAAGCCUGGGAAACUGGGUCUAAUACUGGAUAUGACUCCACGGUGCAUGUCGUGGGGUGGAAAGCCUUGUGCGGCUGAGGAUGGGCCCGCGGCCUAUCAGCUUGUUGGUGGGGUGAUGGCCUACCAAGGCGACGACGGGUAGCCGGCCUGAGAGGGCGACC
This 275-nucleotide ribosomal RNA is filed under the name uncultured bacterium. RNAcentral's name for it is "partial 16S ribosomal RNA". It matches the Rfam family "Bacterial small subunit ribosomal RNA", at positions 28 to 305 of the family's 1533-position model. The record is from RNAcentral.